This 588-nucleotide long non-coding RNA is filed under the name Monodelphis domestica (gray short-tailed opossum). RNAcentral describes it as "lncRNA (ENSMODG00000030371.2)". Lineage: Eukaryota; Metazoa; Chordata; Mammalia; Didelphimorphia; Didelphidae. The record is from RNAcentral.
CUUUGUAACUAUCUUCCCAAGCUCUGCUUAUUAGUCCCAGUUGUCCUUAAUAGAGUACUUUACUCUCAUCUAAGCCUCUGACCCCUCAAGCUGUGCUCAGUUUGAAACACUAAUAACAAAAAUGCCAAAUGAAUCGCGGAAAAAGAUGGUAGGAUCAUAAGGCUCGCGGUGUAACUUGUGGCAGAUGGAAAACCAGCUCAGACAUGUCCUCUGGAGUGACAGCAGAUGAUUGCUCCCUCUUUAAAUGGGAGUCAUACUGUUGGUUGGAUAUUCUUCUAGACCUUGAGAGGCUGUGGAUGUGGAAUCAAAGACCUAAAUUCAAAUCCCUGCUCUGCCAUUUCAUUCCUGGCUCACCUUUACCUUUUGGAGGUAUAAUGUCCUCAUCUCAAAAUGACUGUUUGUUAUAUUCCCUAUUCAAUUAUUUUCAUCUUUAAAUCUCAAUCAUGGAUCACCUCAGUUAAAAGACAAUGUUCAAGAGGUGAUGAGUGAAAAAAAAUCAAUAUUCUGUGAAUGACAAGGUGAUGUAUCCCUUGAAAUUUAGCCAGAGCAUUUCUUAGACAAUAAAUAUACAGUUUACUUUACGAAUCA